CGUCUCAGUUCGGAUUGUAGUCUGCAACUCGACUACAUGAAGCUGGAAUCGCUAGUAAUCGCGAAUCAGAAUGUCGCGGUGAAUACGUUCCCGGGUCUUGUACACACCGCCCGUCACACCAUGGGAGUCAGUAACGCCCGAAGCCGGUGACCCAACCAAACGGAGGGAGCCGUCGAAGGUGGGACCGAUAACUGGGGUGAAGUCGUAACAAGGUAAC
Molecule: ribosomal RNA, 217 nt
Filed under: uncultured bacterium
Lineage: Bacteria
Description: partial 16S ribosomal RNA
Rfam family: Bacterial small subunit ribosomal RNA
Source: RNAcentral